AUGACAAAGGAAUUAAUUCGUUUGGGGAUGACACUUGCUCACCAUCUUCCAUUGAAUCUAGUGGAUAAACUCCUUGUGAUGGCAGCGUAUUUAAUAUUUGGAGACCUGUCACGACAUGGCAUCACAAGGCCAAAAAUGGGUCCAAUGACCCUCAAAUCAGAAACAGGCCGAUCUGCAGUGAUUGAUGUUGGGACUGUUGGAUUGAUCAAAAAAGGCAUCAUCAAAGUUCAGGGGAGCAUUAGUAAGAUCGAGGGCAACAUAGUUAAAUUUCAAUGCAGUAAAAGAAUCUCAUUUGAUGCGAUUGUGUUUGCAACUGGAUACAAAAGCACGGCAAAUAUAUGGCUCAAGAAUGGUGAGAGCAUGUUAAAUGGCAACGGACUGCCCAUCCAAAAAUAUCCGAAUCAUUGGAAAGGUGAAAAUGGGCUCUACUGUGCUGGGUUAGCGAGGAGAGGAUUAGCCGGUAUUGCAGCAGAUGCCAAGAAUAUCGCUAAUGACAUCAAAUCUGUGAUAGACUCUAUGUAA
Molecule: ribosomal RNA, 522 nt
Filed under: Triticum aestivum (bread wheat)
Lineage: Eukaryota; Viridiplantae; Streptophyta; Magnoliopsida; Poales; Poaceae
Description: partial small subunit ribosomal RNA
Source: RNAcentral